RNAcentral lists this ribosomal RNA (473 nucleotides) under uncultured Pelotomaculum sp. RNAcentral's name for it is "bacterial SSU rRNA". It matches the Rfam family "Bacterial small subunit ribosomal RNA", at positions 910 to 1382 of the family's 1533-position model. Lineage: Bacteria; Bacillati; Bacillota; Clostridia; Eubacteriales; Desulfotomaculaceae. The record is from RNAcentral.
UUGACGGGGCCCGCACAAGCGGUGGAGCAUGUGGUUAAUUCGACGCAACGCGAAGAACCUUACCAGGGCUUGACAUCCCCUGACCGCGUAUGAAAGUACGUUUUCACCCUCGGGUGACAGGGAGACAGGUGGUGCAUGGUUGUCGUCAGCUCGUGUCGUGAGAUGUUGGGUUAAGUCCCGCAACGAGCGCAACCCCUACGUUUAGUUGCUAACAGGUGAAGCUGAGCACUCUAGACGAACUGCCGUUGACAAAACGGAGGAAGGUGGGGAUGACGUCAAAUCAUCAUGCCCCUUAUGUUCUGGGCUACACACGUGCUACAAUGGCCGGUACAGACGGAGGCGAAGCCGCGAGGCGGAGCAAAUCCGAAAAAGCCGGUCUCAGUUCGGAUUGCAGGCUGCAAUUCGCCUGCAUGAAGUCGGAAUCGCUAGUAAUCGCAGGUCAGCAUACUGCGGUGAAUACGUUCCCGGGCCUU